RNAcentral lists this ribosomal RNA (783 nucleotides) under uncultured bacterium. RNAcentral's name for it is "bacterial SSU rRNA". It matches the Rfam family "Bacterial small subunit ribosomal RNA", at positions 59 to 840 of the family's 1533-position model. The record is from RNAcentral.
CAGUCGAACGGAACUGUUUUGAAAGAUUUCUUCGGAAUGAAUUUGAUUUACUUUAGUGGCGGACGGGUGAGUAACGCGUGAGUAACCUGCCUUCAAGAGGGGGAUAACAUUCUGAAAAGAAUGCUAAUACCGCAUGACAUAUCGGAACCACAUGGUUCUGAUAUCAAAGAUUUUAUCGCUUGAAGAUGGACUCGCGUCCGAUUAGUUAGUUGGUGAGGUAACGGCCCACCAAGUCGACGAUCAGUAGCCGGACUGAGAGGUUGAACGGCCACAUUGGGACUGAGACACGGCCCAGACUCCUACGGGAGGCAGCAGUGGGGGAUAUUGCGCAAUGGGGGCAACCCUGACGCAGCAACGCCGCGUGAAGGAUGAAGGUUUUCGGAUUGUAAACUUCUUUUAUUAAGGACGAAAAUUGACGGUACUUAAUGAAUAAGCUCCGGCUAACUACGUGCCAGCAGCCGCGGUAAUACGUAGGGAGCAAGCGUUGUCCGGAUUUACUGGGUGUAAAGGGUGCGUAGGCGGCUUUGCAAGUCAGAUGUGAAAUCUAUGGGCUCAACCCAUAAACUGCAUUUGAAACUGUAGAGCUUGAGUGAAGUAGAGGCAGGCGGAAUUCCCCGUGUAGCGGUGAAAUGCGUAGAGAUGGGGAGGAACACCAGUGGCGAAGGCGGCCUGCUGGGCUUUAACUGACGCUGAGGCACGAAAGCGUGGGUAGCAAACAGGAUUAGAUACCCUGGUAGUCCACGCUGUAAACGAUGAUUACUAGGUGUGGGGGGUCUGACCCCU